The submitters of this non-coding RNA (84 nucleotides) gave its source as unclassified sequences. The record is from Rfam.
UGCAGAGCGAAAAAGCCUACUAUCUCACUUCAAUCUCCCGGAUAGCAGGUUUUUUUAAUGCAGGAAGACCGGUCGCAACCCCGG